RNAcentral lists this ribosomal RNA (384 nucleotides) under uncultured bacterium. RNAcentral describes it as "bacterial SSU rRNA". It matches the Rfam family "Bacterial small subunit ribosomal RNA", at positions 28 to 414 of the family's 1533-position model. The record is from RNAcentral.
GACGAACGCUGGCGGCGUGCUUAACACAUGCAAGUCGAACGGUAAGGCCCUUCGGGGUACACGAGUGGCGAACGGGUGAGUAACACGUGGGUGAUCUGCCCUGCACUUUGGGAUAAGCCUGGGAAACUGGGUCUAAUACCGAAUAGGACCAUGGACUUCACGGUUUGUGGUGGAAAGCUUUUGCGGUGUGGGAUGGGCCCGCGGCCUAUCAGCUUGUUGGUGGGGGUAAUGGCCUACCCAAGGCGACGACGGGUAGCCGGCCUGAGAGGGUGACCGGCCACACUGGGACUGAGAUACGGCCCAGACUCCUACGGGAGGCAGCAGUGGGGAAUAUUGCACAAUGGGCGCAAGCCUGAUGCAGCGACGCCGCGUGAGGGAUGACGG